UCUUAUUUCUGAUCCUUGUGUUAUCGUACCUAUGGAUCAGCGGGAUAGACUUGUAAUCUCGACUCGGGUAUCUCUCCUUAUUCUCGGCGAGUCAGGCUCGGGUUAAAAUUGGAAACAUGCUGUACCGUAAACAAUGACAAAUACCUGGAAAUAUUGAUGUAUCGCUGGCCACACGUCGCCGCGAUGCCGGCUACGAAAUAUCUUGAUCGGCUGCCGGGAAGUGUGUAAACAUCGAUAUGUGCUCCAUGUCCUUUAAGACAUGGUUACGACUCGGUCACGGACGAGCCAAUCACAGUGCGGCUAAAUUAUCAACGUAUCAAAUUAUCAGACGUUUCGCAUUUGUUUGCCGCAGUACUUCGCACUACUCGCAGUCGAGUGAGUUACAUAAUUAAUAGAGAUUGCUCGUGAAAGCAAAGAAUCGGGAAAGUUUGGUCAUUCUCAAUUGAGGACUUCCUAACGCGUCGACAAAAUGGCGACAAGUAAUUAUCUAAGUUCGCUCGAGUGAUGAGGACGUUCUAGCGUUCAAGUUGGCGGGUGUUAAACACGAGCAAACGUCUGUUUCAUCUUCAGUCGACAUAAUUCGUACAUACUCUAAUCAUAUCCACGUGUAUA
Harpegnathos saltator (Jerdon's jumping ant) is the source of this 612-nucleotide long non-coding RNA. RefSeq lists it as uncharacterized. The transcript is spliced from 2 exons. NCBI's taxonomy places the organism in Eukaryota, Metazoa, Arthropoda, Insecta, Hymenoptera, Formicidae. The record is from RefSeq and is a predicted model, not a curated record.